This 500-nucleotide ribosomal RNA is filed under the name uncultured bacterium. RNAcentral's name for it is "partial 16S ribosomal RNA". It matches the Rfam family "Bacterial small subunit ribosomal RNA", at positions 29 to 523 of the family's 1533-position model. The record is from RNAcentral.
AUUGAACGCUGGCGGCAUGCCUUACACAUGCAAGUCGAACGGCAGCACGGGAGCAAUCCUGGUGGCGAGUGGCGAACGGGUGAGUAAUAUAUCGGAACGUGCCCAGUCGUGGGGGAUAACGCAGCGAAAGCUGUGCUAAUACCGCAUACGAUCUAAGGAUGAAAGCGGGGGAUCGCAAGACCUCGCGCGAUUGGAGCGGCCGAUAUCAGAUUAGCUAGUUGGUGGGGUAAAGGCCCACCAAGGCGACGAUCUGUAGCUGGUCUGAGAGGACGACCAGCCACACUGGAACGGAGACACGGUCCAGACUCCUACGGGAGGCAGCAGUGGGGAAUUUUGGACAAUGGGCGCAAGCCUGAUCCAGCAAUGCCGCGUGCAGGAUGAAGGCCUUCGGGUUGUAAACUGCUUCUGUACGGAACGAAACGGCCCUUUCUAAUACAGGGGGCUAAUGACGGUACCGUAAGAAUAAGCGCCGGCUAACUACGUGCCAGCAGCCGCAGUAA